AACGAACGCUGGCGGCGUGCCUAAGACAUGCAAGUCGUGCGAGAAAAGGGCUUCGGCCCCUAGUAGAGCGGCGCACGGGUGAGUAACGCGUGGGUAAUCUGCCUCCGGGUCCGGGAUAACCUCGGGAAACUGGGGCUAAUACCGGAUGAGACCACGAGGUCCUCGGGCCUCGCGGAAAAAGGUGGCCUCUUCAUGAAAGCUUUCGCCUGGAGAUGAGCCCGCGUCCCAUUAGCUAGUUGGUGAGGUAACGGCUCACCAAGGCUCCGAUGGGUAGCUGGUCUGAGAGGACGACCAGCCACACUGGAACUGAGACACGGUCCAGACUCCUACGGGAGGCAG
Molecule: ribosomal RNA, 339 nt
Filed under: uncultured Pseudomonadota bacterium
Lineage: Bacteria; Pseudomonadati; Pseudomonadota
Description: bacterial SSU rRNA
Rfam family: Bacterial small subunit ribosomal RNA
Source: RNAcentral